UAAACUUUAGCUUGAAUACAUUAACAUGUUCCUCUCCUAUUUAUAGGAUUAAGAGGGAGAAUUUUACUCAACAGAAUAGAGGAUUUUCCUCAACAGAAUAGAUAAGAUUUCCUCAUAUAAUGGAGAAAUCUUAUCUUCUAUCAUGCCCCCGCAAGAUGGUGCUCCUGACAAGGAUACCAAUCUUGGAUCGGUAAGAAAAAGAGGCUUCGUGAGUAAGAUAAGUGUAGAUCGCUGCUGCUGUUGUUGCGAUUGCUGUUGCUGUGAUGGCACAGGCGUUCCCUUCAUUCUCCUUAAGUCUGCCGAAUGUUGACAGAUCAACGAAGACUACCGCGGCGAGGAAGAUGAGGAUUGACCACGGAGCCUCUUAGGAAUGCAACAGCGUUGGUCGCUGACCGAAGGGUGAAGCUUCACUUUUCUCAGCGACGUUGGUCGCUUGCCGAAGGCAAGAGCGAAGCUUCGCUUUUCUCAACGACGUUGGUCGUGGUUGCGAUUACAACGGCUGCGACGGUAGAAAAGAGCAAUGUUGCAGUGAUGCUACUACAGCAAAGAAGGAAACUGCAACAAAGGAGGAAGCUGUAGUAGAAGAGGAAAGUGUAGCAGAAGAAGAAGGAAAAUAGCUACAACGACGAAGAAAGGUGGGGCAGAACCCAAUUCAUCCAGUCAUUACGCUUCCUUAUUUUCUCACCCUGUACUUCCACUUCAGUUGAUAACUGCACUGUAUCCAAUAUAAAGUCAAUGCUGUUUGUUAAUUGCCUCACUCUAUUGAAUCCAGCGAUCAAGGAUAUUGGAACCCAUCCUUGCUCGUCCAUGUUUUGCCGCAGGAAAACAUCUUUACAUAAAUUAUCGGAGCUGAAAUAGUAAUCUAUCUGCUUCAAAAGACUAGCACGCUGUGGAUCAAUAGUUGGGAUAAAUACUGCAGGUGGAAGUGCCGGAUGAGGAACAAAGGGCACACCUCCAGGAGGUGGCUGAGUGGCAACAUAAAAGACAGGAGAAUGCAUAUCAGGGAAUACCAUCGGGUAAGGACGGACCUGCGAUGGAGAGGUGAGGAAUGGGGGUGCUACAGGUGGCACAGGCAUCUUGAGGUAAGGCCUGGCACCCCGGUGCGGAAUGUGGGCAUCUCUCCCACCAGCAUUCCUACGAUAUCCAUCAUAANNNNNNN
RNAcentral lists this long non-coding RNA (1159 nucleotides) under Musa acuminata (dwarf banana). Its description in RNAcentral is "long non-coding RNA (MACU_LNC008222)". The record is from RNAcentral. Lineage: Eukaryota; Viridiplantae; Streptophyta; Magnoliopsida; Zingiberales; Musaceae.